UUGAACGCUGGCGGCAUGCCUUACACAUGCAAGUCGAACGGCAGCACGGGGGCAACCCUGGUGGCGAGUGGCGAACGGGUGAGUAAUACAUCGGAACGUGCCCUGAAGUGGGGGAUAACUACGCGAAAGCGUAGCUAAUACCGCAUACGCCCUGAGGGGGAAAGCGGGGGACCUUCGGGCCUCGCGCGAUUGGAGCGGCUGAUGUCGGAUUAGCUAGUUGGUGGGGUAAAGGCCUACCAAGGCGACGAUCCGUAGCUGGUCUGAGAGGAUGAUCCGUCACACUGGAACUGAGACACGGUCCAGACUCCUACGGGAGGCAGCAGUGGGGAAUUUUGGACAAUGGGGGCAACCCUGAUCCAGCCAUUCCGCGUGAGUGAAGAAGGCCUUCGGGUUGUAAAGCUCUUUCAGCCGGAACGAAACGGUACGCUCUAACAUAGCGUGCUAAUGACGGUACCGGCAGAAGAAGCACCGGCUAACUACGU
This 482-nucleotide ribosomal RNA is filed under the name uncultured bacterium. Its description in RNAcentral is "bacterial SSU rRNA". It matches the Rfam family "Bacterial small subunit ribosomal RNA", at positions 29 to 506 of the family's 1533-position model. The record is from RNAcentral.